GUGAGUGUAGCUCAAGGGUAGAGCGCCGGUCUGUGGCACCGGAUGUUGGGGGUUCGAAUCCCCUCACUCACCCCA
Molecule: transfer RNA, 75 nt
Filed under: Gammaproteobacteria bacterium
Lineage: Bacteria; Pseudomonadati; Pseudomonadota; Gammaproteobacteria
Also listed under: 2 other names
Description: tRNA-His
Rfam family: tRNA
About the family: Transfer RNA (tRNA) molecules are approximately 80 nucleotides in length.
Source: RNAcentral